Molecule: long non-coding RNA, 828 nt
Organism: Ruditapes philippinarum (Manila clam)
Lineage: Eukaryota; Metazoa; Mollusca; Bivalvia; Venerida; Veneridae
Exons: 3
Source: RefSeq, a predicted model, not a curated record
UCGCAUUUUUUACUUUUCUUAUUAAGAUCCUAUUACAUUGUUUUCUGAAGUUUAAUUUCUUGAAAUAUUUUGGCUCAUGUGGAGGCACAUUGUGUAUUUUGAACAUGUUAUUGUAACUAUCAUUAUAAUUGUAUGUAAUAUAAUAAAUGGAAUAUGAGUUAUGUUGGCUGAGUUCUUUAAAGCCGUUUAUGUUUUCAUUUAAGCGAGCAUUAGGACAGCCGGUCCGCAUAUUUUUGCUUAAUCCGCUUAAUAAUAUAAGCAUAAAAUUAUCUGUAUUGAUUAAGAUUGUGAACCGUAAUUAUUUAAACAUGUUAUCAUUUUGUGACGCGCUCAGCUAUUUGUAGCCUCAUUGAGUUUUUAAUCAUUGUGAAAAAAACGCUUGCAAAAUCAUAAGAGGUUUGAUGUCUUUAUUUACGUUUUCCUUUCCUUUUAACAUUUUCAAAGCUUUCCUGGAAAAUCUAUUUUUAGAAAAUAAGUAUUUUGUUUACAGUCAGGUCACACAUUUAUGAAAGAAGUGAAACGUAUAUUCUUUACAUCAGUUCUAUGUUACUGCAAAGUUGGAGGUGUAAAUAAAUAUUAAGCUACAUGCACUGUUGUUCUCGAAAAUCUAUAUUUAGAAUAAUGCACUGUGUCAGGUCACACAUUCAUGAAAGUAGUGAAACGAAAGAUCUGUACGUCAUUAUGUUACUGCAAAGUUGGAUGUUUAAAUAAAGAUUAAGGUUGUGUAGUUUGGUAUCAGAAUUAUUAGACGUAUUGCUUGUAGGACAUUGACGGCAGGAACUUGAAAUUAACUGUGGAGUGCUACCAAAAUUGCCUCCACUGGCGGUA